CAUGCCCCGAUGGUCAAUGGUUUAUUCUUAAUGAAUCUCGAACAUAAUGUUACACAUAUUCAUAGUGUGAAUACCAAAAGAUGUAAGGUUGAUAACGAUAGUCCCACAUACCUGUGGCACUGCCGCCUUGGUCACAUUGGUGUCAAGCGCAUGAAGAAGCUCCAUGCUGAUGGACUUUUAGAGUCUCUCGAUUAUGAAUCAUUUGACACAUGCGAACCAUGCCUCAUGGGAAAAAUGACCAAGACUCCGUUCUCCGGAACAAUGGAGCGAGCAACCAACUUAUUGGAAAUCAUACAUACUGAUGUGUGUGGUCCGAUGAGCGUUGAGGCUCGCGGAGGAUAUCGUUAUGUUCUCACUCUCACUGAUGACUUAAGU
This 375-nucleotide ribosomal RNA is filed under the name Triticum aestivum (bread wheat). RNAcentral describes it as "partial small subunit ribosomal RNA". Lineage: Eukaryota; Viridiplantae; Streptophyta; Magnoliopsida; Poales; Poaceae. The record is from RNAcentral.